Molecule: ribosomal RNA, 672 nt
Filed under: uncultured equine intestinal eubacterium sp. PL11
Lineage: Bacteria
Description: bacterial SSU rRNA
Rfam family: Bacterial small subunit ribosomal RNA
Source: RNAcentral
GCACGGUAAACGAUGGAUGCUCGCUGUUCGGCCUUCGGGUUGAGCGGCUAAGGGAAACCAUUAAGCAUCCCACCUGGGGAGUACGCCGGCAACGGUGAAACUCAAAGGAAUUGACGGGGGCCCGCACAAGCGGAGGAACAUGUGGUUUAAUUCGAUGAUACGCGAGGAACCUUACCCGGGCUUGAACUGCAGGUGAACGAUACAGAGAUGUUGAGGUCCUUCGGGACACCUGUGGAGGUGCUGCAUGGUUGUCGUCAGCUCGUGCCGUGAGGUGUCGGCUUAGGUGCCAUAACGAGCGCAACCCCUGUCCUUAGUUGCCAUCACUUCGGGUGGGCACUCUGGGGAUACUGCCACCGUAAGGUGUGAGGAAGGUGGGGAUGACGUCAAAUCAGCACGGCCCUUACGUCCGGGGCUACACACGUGUUACAAUGGCGUGUACAGAGAGUUGGUACUGGGCAAUCAGUAUCUAAUCAAUAAAACACGUCUCAGUUCGGAUUGGGGUCUGCAACCCGACCCCAUGAAGCUGGAUUCGCUAGUAAUCGCGCAUCAGCCAUGGCGCGGUGAAUACGUUCCCGGGCCUUGUACACACCGCCCGUCAAGCCAUGAAAGCCGGGGGCGCUUGAAGUCCGUGACCGCAAGGAUCGGCCUAGAGCGAAACUGGUAAUUGGGGCU